RNAcentral lists this ribosomal RNA (502 nucleotides) under Cercospora cf. citrulina EPU32CA. RNAcentral's name for it is "eukaryotic LSU rRNA". The stretch from base 160 to 313 matches the Rfam family "5.8S ribosomal RNA". The record is from RNAcentral. Lineage: Eukaryota; Fungi; Ascomycota; Dothideomycetes; Mycosphaerellales; Mycosphaerellaceae.
GGAGGGAUCAUUACUGAGUGAGGGCCUUCGGGCUCGACCUCCAACCCUUUGUGAACACAACUUGUUGCUUCGGGGGCGACCCUGCCGUUUCGACGGCGAGCGCCCCCGGAGGCCUUCAAACACUGCAUCUUUGCGUCGGAGUUUAAGUAAAUUAAACAAAACUUUCAACAACGGAUCUCUUGGUUCUGGCAUCGAUGAAGAACGCAGCGAAAUGCGAUAAGUAAUGUGAAUUGCAGAAUUCAGUGAAUCAUCGAAUCUUUGAACGCACAUUGCGCCCCUUGGUAUUCCGAGGGGCAUGCCUGUUCGAGCGUCAUUUCACCACUCAAGCCUCGCUUGGUAUUGGGCGCCGCGGUGUUCCGCGCGCCUCAAAGUCUCCGGCUGAGCUGUCCGUCUCUAAGCGUUGUGAUUUCAUUAAUCGCUUCGGAGCGCGGGCGGUCGCGGCCGUUAAAUCUUUCACAAGGUUGACCUCGGAUCAGGUAGGGAUACCCGCUGAACUUAAGCA